UGCAGUCGACGGCAGCACAGUAAGAGCUUGCUCUUAUGGGUGGCGAGUGGCGGACGGGUGAGGAAUACAUCGGAAUCUACCUUUUCGUGGGGGAUAACGUAGGGAAACUUACGCUAAUACCGCAUACGACCUUCGGGUGAAAGCAGGGGACCUUCGGGCCUUGCGCGGAUAGAUGAGCCGAUGUCGGAUUAGCUAGUUGGCGGGGUAAAGGCCCACCAAGGCGACGAUCCGUAGCUGGUCUGAGAGGAUGAUCAGCCACACUGGAACUGAGACACGGUCCAGACUCCUACGGGAGGCAGCAGUGGGGAAUAUUGGACAAUGGGCGCAAGCCUGAUCCAGCCAUACCGCGUGGGUGAAGAAGGCCUUCGGGUUGUAAAGCCCUUUUGUUGGGAAAGAAAAGCAGUCGAUUAAUACUCGGUUGUUCUGACGGUACCCAAAGAAUAAGCACCGGCUAACUUCGUGCCAGCAGCCGCGGUAAUACGAAGGGUGCAAGCGUUACUCGGAAUUACUGGGCGUAAAGCGUGCGUAGGUGGUUGUUUAAGUCUGUUGUGAAAGCCCUGGGCUCAACCUGGGAAUUGCAGUGGAUACUGGGCGACUAGAGUGUGGUAGAGGGUAGUGGAAUUCCCGGUGUAGCAGUGAAAUGCGUAGAGAUCGGGAGGAACAUCCAUGGCGAAGGCAGCUACCUGGAC
Molecule: ribosomal RNA, 689 nt
Filed under: Stenotrophomonas sp. G1_6
Lineage: Bacteria; Pseudomonadati; Pseudomonadota; Gammaproteobacteria; Lysobacterales; Lysobacteraceae
Description: bacterial SSU rRNA
Rfam family: Bacterial small subunit ribosomal RNA
Source: RNAcentral